RNAcentral lists this ribosomal RNA (508 nucleotides) under uncultured bacterium. Its description in RNAcentral is "partial 16S ribosomal RNA". It matches the Rfam family "Bacterial small subunit ribosomal RNA", at positions 28 to 523 of the family's 1533-position model. The record is from RNAcentral.
GAUGAACGCUAGCUACAGGCUUAACACAUGCAAGUCGAGGGGAAUCGACAUCGAAAGCUUGCUUUUGAUGGGCGUCGACCGGCGCACGGGUGAGUAACGCGUAUCCAACCUGCCCACCACUUGGGAAUAACCUUGCGAAAGUAAGACUAAUACCCAAUGAUAUCCCACGAAGGCAUCCGAAUGGGAUUAAAGAUUUAUCGGUGAGGGAUGGGGAUGCGUCUGAUUAGCUUGUGGGCGGGGUAACGGCCCACAAAGGCGACGAUCAGUAGGGGUUCUGAGAGGAAGGUCCCCCACAUUGGAACUGAGACACGGUCCAAACUCCUACGGGAGGCAGCAGUGAGGAAUAUUGGUCAAUGGGCGAGAGCCUGAACCAGCCAAGUAGCGUGCAGGAUGACGGCCCUAUGGGUUGUAAACUGCUUUUAUAAGGGAAUAAAGUGAGUCUCGUGAGACUUUUUGCAUGUACCUUAUGAAUAAGGACCGGCUAAUUCCGUGCCAGCCGCCGCCGUAA